AUUGAACGCUGGCGGCAUGCUUUACACAUGCAAGCCGAACGGCGGCGCGGGCUUCGGCCUGGCGGCGAGUGGCGAACGGGUGAGUAAUGCAUCGGAACGUGCCCAGUAGUGGGGGAUAGCCCGGCGAAAGCCGGAUUAAUACCGCAUACGACCUGAGGGUGAAAGCGGGGGACCGAAAGGCCUCGCGCUAUUGGAGCGGCCGAUGUCGGAUUAGCUAGUUGGUGGGGUAAAGGCUUACCAAGGCGACGAUCCGUAGCUGGUCUGAGAGGACGACCAGCCACACUGGGACUGAGACACGGCCCAGACUCCUACGGGAGGCAGCAGUGGGGAAUUUUGGACAAUGGGGGCAACCCUGAUCCAGCCAUGCCGCGUGCGGGAAGAAGGCCUUCGGGUUGUAAACCGCUUUUGUUCGGGAAGAAAUCCUCUGGGCUAAUACCCCGGGGGGAUGACGGUACCGGAAGAAUAAGCACCGGCUAACUACGUG
This 484-nucleotide ribosomal RNA is filed under the name uncultured bacterium. Its description in RNAcentral is "partial 16S ribosomal RNA". It matches the Rfam family "Bacterial small subunit ribosomal RNA", at positions 28 to 507 of the family's 1533-position model. The record is from RNAcentral.